UGUGUGAUUUAUCAAUACAAAGUGUCGAGUUUCUUGUUCGGGCUCAAUCAACGCUUUCAACACGAAUUGCGUUGGUGGCUGAUGAAGAUUCCAUUUCAAUUCACGUAGCACCUAAGAGUGUGUCCUAGCGAUCAAUGAGAUGGGCUAAAACCUUGGAGGCCAGGGUUUCUUCUCAGCACAGACAAAAAAUGCUAAGCUAUUUCUUCCCAUCAAUCUAAACCCUGAUAGGGGGUUAUCUGUUGUUCUGGUGAGAGGUAUCAGAUACCCUGUGGAAUGGUCAAGGUGCAUUUGAAAGCCAACAUAAUCUAUAAAAAUAUAAAUUGAAUAUAUUAGAAUCGGGGUAUACCCUUGAAAGGUCUGUUUGGGAAUUCUAUUUGCUAUAUACACAUUAUUUUAUAGAACUGCUUUAAGUGACUAUUGUGUUUUUUCCUUCCCUCGUUUUUGUGGCCGCAUGAAUCACAGAACACAAAGUUGAAAGUGCUAAGAAUAAGCGUGCGAGUGAACAGAACCCAACCCUAGAUUUAUGGUUAAGUAUGGUUGUAAGUAAAUUAUAGACCACUUCAAAUUUCGGUUUCGAGGUAUCAAUGAGACUAGGGUGAAAACAAAUGGAUGUAAUCAAAUUGGGCGUGGAUAGAUUCCUAUAAUUCUGUGUCUUGAAACAAAUGGAUGUAAUCAAAUUGGGCUUGAACAGUUUCCUAUAAAUCUGUGUCUUGAAAUGGUAGUGAAGGGCCAUCGGUGAAAGGAAUCGAGAUGCUUAAGAUUGCGGCUCAAGUAAGGAAGAUGAAUAUGCAAGAAUACAGUAUAACCUAUAAAAGUUGCUUGACAAUUCUAAUUGGUACUUAUUACUUAUUUGUACCAAACACUUACCUAAAAAGGUUUCCUAUUCAAGCAAGAAAGAUGAAUAUAUAAGAACAGGGUAUAACCUGAAGAUGUUGCUGACACGGUUUGUAUACUAGUUUCAGUAAAAAUAAGGCAUUUUGAUUUGAUCAGCUUUCCAUUUUGAUAGUUAAUAUAGUUGCUUCCAACUAUUGCCUUCAUCCUACUUCCACUUUUGAGCCCACAUAUAUCACAGAAAGCAUAGUUGGAAGUGCCAAAAUUUAGUGUGACUGCAGAUGCUAAUUUAAAAUGUAAGGUAAACCCUACCCUAAUUUUAGGGUCAAUUAAGCCGAUAGGAUUAUUAUGGAAAGAAUAGGGCAUAAUCUAACCUGCGGGGAAUCAUUGCAGCCCAGUUGGUUGGCUAUUAAGCAGUUUUUGCAGAUAGUGGGAAUGAUGUAGAAAGCUUUAAAAGAACUUCUUAUUCCACUUGUAUAUUUGGUGAGAGAAUACCAUGAUGUGUUGACGGUCAAGCUUGAUGGAGAA
RNAcentral lists this long non-coding RNA (1359 nucleotides) under Nicotiana benthamiana. Its description in RNAcentral is "long non-coding RNA (NBEN_LNC033046)". The record is from RNAcentral. Lineage: Eukaryota; Viridiplantae; Streptophyta; Magnoliopsida; Solanales; Solanaceae.